RNAcentral lists this unclassified non-coding RNA (258 nucleotides) under plant metagenome. RNAcentral describes it as "partial contains small subunit ribosomal RNA, internal transcribed spacer 1, and 5.8S ribosomal RNA". The stretch from base 1 to 54 matches the Rfam family "Eukaryotic small subunit ribosomal RNA", at positions 1778 to 1831 of the family's 1831-position model. The record is from RNAcentral.
GGAAGUAAAAGUCGUUACAAGGUUUCCGUAGGUGAACCUGCGGAAGGAUCAUUACUGAGUGAGGGCCCCUCGGGGUCCAACCUCCCACCCGUGUUUAACGAACCUUGUUGCUUUGGCGGGCCCGCCUCACGGCCGCCGGGGGGCAUCUGCCCCCGGGCCCGCGCCCGCCGAAGCCACCUGUGAACGCUGUCUGAAGUAUGCAGUCUGAGACAAUUAUUAAAUUAAUUAAAACUUUCAACAACGGAUCUCUUGGUUCCG